Molecule: ribosomal RNA, 796 nt
Filed under: Pantoea sp.
Lineage: Bacteria; Pseudomonadati; Pseudomonadota; Gammaproteobacteria; Enterobacterales; Erwiniaceae
Description: bacterial SSU rRNA
Rfam family: Bacterial small subunit ribosomal RNA
Source: RNAcentral
GGCGGUCUGGUAAGUCAGAGGUGAAAUCCCCGGGCUUAACCUGGGAACUGCCUUUGAAACUGGCAGGCUUGAGUCUCGUAGAGGGGGGUAGAAUUCCAGGUGUAGCGGUGAAAUGCGUAGAGAUCUGGGGGAAUACCGGUGGCGAAGGCGGCCCCCUGGACGAAAUUGACGCUCAUGUGCGAAAGCGUGGGGAGCAAACAGGAUUAGAUACCCUGGUAGUCCACGCCGUAAACGAUGUCUACUUGGAGGUUGUUCCCUUGACGAGGGGCUUCCGGAGCUGACGCGUUAACUCCACGGCCAGGGGAGUACCGCCGCUGGGUUAAAACUCAAAUGAAUUGACCGCGGCCCGCCCAAGCAGCGGAGCAUGUGGUUUAAUUCUAUGCAACGAACAUAACCUUACCUACUCUUGACAUCGACCGAAUUUGAAACAGAUGCUUUGGUGCCUUCGGGAACCCUGAGACAGGGGCUGCAUGGCUGUCGUCAGCUCGUGUUGUGAAAUGUUGGGUUAAGUCCCGCCACGAGCUGUUCCCUUAUCCUUUGUUGCCAUCGAUUCGGUCGGGAACUCAAAGGAGACUGCCGGUGAUAAACCGGAGGAAUGUGGGGAUGACAUCAAGUCAUCAUGGCCCUUACGAGUACGGCUACACACGUGCUACAAUGGCACAUACAAAGAGAAGCGACCUCGCGAGAGCAAGCGGACCUCAUCAGUGCGUCGAUAGUCCGGAUCGGAGUCUGCAACUCGACUCCGUGAAGUCGGAAUCGCUAUAAUCGUGUAUCACAGUGCCACGGUGAAUACGUU